AUCGGGGUUGCGGACAGUGCCUGGUGGGUAGUUUGACUGGGGCGGUCUCCUCCCAAAGCGUAACGGAGGAGCACGAAGGUGGGCUAAUCACGGUUGGACAUCGUGAGGUUAGUGCAAUGGCAUAAGCCCGCUUGACUGCGAGAAUGACAAUUCGAGCAGGUGCGAAAGCAGGUCAUAGUGAUCCGGUGGUUCUGAAUGGAAGGGCCAUCGCUCAACGGAUAAAAGGUACUCCGGGGAUAACAGGCUGAUACCGCCCAAGAGUUCAUAUCGACGGCGGUGUUUGGCACCUCGAUGUCGGCUCAUCACAUCCUGGGGCUGAAGUCGGUCCCAAGGGUAUGGCUGUUCGCCAUUUAAAGUGGUACGCGAGCUGGGUUUAGAACGUCGUGAGACAGUUCGGUCCCUAUCUGCCGUGGGCGUUGGAGAAUUGAAAGGGGCUGCUCCUAGUACGAGAGGACCGGAGUGGACGAACCUCUGGUGUUCGGGUUGUGUCGCCAGACGCAUUGCCCGGUAGCUAAGUUCGGGAUCGAUAACCGCUGAAAGCAUCUAAGCGGGAAGCGAGCCUUGAGAUGAGUUCUCCCUGAUACUUUAAGUAUCCUAAAGGGUUGUCGUAGACUACGACGUUGAUAGGCAGGGUGUGUAAGCGUUGUGAGGCGUUGAGCUAACCUGUACUAAUUGCCCGUGAGGCUUAACCAU
Molecule: ribosomal RNA, 693 nt
Filed under: Vibrio alginolyticus
Lineage: Bacteria; Pseudomonadati; Pseudomonadota; Gammaproteobacteria; Vibrionales; Vibrionaceae
Also listed under: 12 other names
Description: partial 23S ribosomal RNA
Rfam family: Bacterial large subunit ribosomal RNA
Source: RNAcentral